UCUUCCACAAUGGACGCAAGUCUGAUGGAGCAACGCCGCGUGAGUGAAGAAGGUUUUCGGAACGUAAAGCUCUGUUGUUGGUGAAGAAGGAUAGAGGUAGUAACUGGCCUUUAUUUGACGGUAAUCAACCAGAAAGUCACGGCUAACUACGUGCCAGCAGCCGCGGUAAUACGUGGGGGGCAAGCGGUGUCCGGAUUUAUUGGGCGAAAAGCGAGCGCAGGCGGAAGAAUGAGUCUGAUGUGAAAGCCCUCGGCUUAACCGAGGAAUUGCAUCGGAAACUGUUUUUCUUGAGUGCAGAAGAGGAGAGUGGAACUCCAUGUGUAGCGGUGGAAUGCGUAGAUAUAUGGAAGAACACCAGUGGCGAGGGCGGCUCUCUGGUCUGCAACUGACGCUGAGGCUCGAAAGCAUGGGUAGCGAACAG
Molecule: ribosomal RNA, 421 nt
Filed under: uncultured bacterium
Lineage: Bacteria
Description: bacterial SSU rRNA
Rfam family: Bacterial small subunit ribosomal RNA
Source: RNAcentral